This is a long non-coding RNA of Ipomoea triloba (trilobed morning glory), 1629 nucleotides long. RefSeq lists it as uncharacterized. The record is from RefSeq and is a predicted model, not a curated record. NCBI's taxonomy places the organism in Eukaryota, Viridiplantae, Streptophyta, Magnoliopsida, Solanales, Convolvulaceae. The transcript has 3 exons.
UAUUCCUUGUUUUCCCUUUGUAGUUUCUACUCCAGCGCCGCGUUCUUACUUCAUAGUCUCUCACGCAAAUUCGAUUGAUUUGGAAGGCAAUCCAACUCGCUCCAUGGAUUGUGUAUUCUCUGUUAAAGGAUUCACACCAGAGUAUGAGAUCCUGACGAGGGAUUGCGAUGCAAUCGGAAUAUCUCACGGAUAAGUCCUAUCAAUAGGAAUGUGUGGCAUAGGAAAUGAUCGAUAUAUUGUACAGUGACAAGUAUUUGCUAUCUCAAUCUUACGAGAUACGGGAGAGUAGGAGAAUUUUGAGAAUUUAUUACCUACUCUUUCUGAAUAUUGGCCUAGAAUGAAUUAUACAGUUUCUCAGAGGAGUGUAUCUUCAUACAUUACAAGCCGCGGCGGCUCUUAUAAACUGCAUCAUAUGUGGGCUCUUAUAAACUGCAUCAUAUGUAAGCAAAGCUCAUCCCCAUCCACAUAGGAGCUCAUCCCCAUUCACAUAGGAGAAAUGUCAGUAGAGAUCAAGUCCUCUUGGCCUAUUGUAUUAAGGAGCAUGAGAACUGCAUCAUAUGUAAGAUCACUUCGACAUUUUAGAUUUUAUCAAAGCAAAGCUCAUCCCCAUUCACAUAGGAGCUCAUCCCCAUUCACAUAGGAAAAAUGUCAGUAGAGAUCAAGUCCUCUUGGCCUAUUGUAUUAAGGAGCAUAAGAAUUCACGUCCCUCUCCGGGGACUCCCAUAAAUGCUUACCAAGAAAUUAAAGUCCAACCUCAAAAUUUCCUCUCUCAACACUACAUUCAAUCCAGAUAUGGACAUAGACAAAGGCCCAUCUAUAAUUAAAAAUCACAUUGCUCUCUUAGCCACCCCUUCCUUAUUACUGAGCUGCAGGCUUACGGGAGUGCUCAUUAAUGCUAACCAAGAAGUCAAGGCCCAGACUUAAUCUUUCAUCACCCAGCUACAUUCAAUCCGGGUAUGGGCAAGUACAAAGACCCAUUAAUGAUCUGGACCAAGGUGAGACAAAAAGACGGAAGAAUGUGUAUGCAAAAAAAGCUCAACAAGUAAUGCAAACACAACCUGAAGCUGGAGAUGCAAUAGCAUGAUAUGAGGCGACCGGUGGUGUCAAGAAAGGAGGGUGCAUGUUUGGAUUUUGAUUGGAUACCCAACACUACCCAGGCAAGAAUUACGCAAUUAGAGUAACACAACAAGGAGAUCUUAGAGCAAAAUAAGAGGAUCAUGGAGAAAUUGAAAGGAUGGAAUCAAAUUUUGCUUUAUUUAGUGCACACUCGGAGUGGUUUCAAUUAGUUGAUCAUAAUUUGCAUAUAGUCGGUAGCAAUGAAAGCAAAUAAGAGGAUCAUGGAGAAAUUGAGAGGAUGGAAUCAAAUUUUGCUUUAUUUAGUGCACAUUCGGAGUGGUUUCCGCUUUCAACCUGUUGAUCAUAAUUUUCAUAUAGUAGAUAGCAAUAAAAGCAGUGGUGUUGGGCUAGAUAAUCUCAACUUGAAUGAUGAUAUACAACCUCCAUCUCAAUAGCUCAAUCAUGAUUAGGUACUUGUUAAUACAAAGUUGUUAAAGCAGUGGUGUUGUAAUAGAUAACAUCAACUUGAAUGAUGAAUGAUGAUACAAAAUUUAAGAAUUUUUUGCAUUUUUA